This 231-nucleotide unclassified non-coding RNA is filed under the name uncultured fungus. RNAcentral's name for it is "sequence contains ITS1". Lineage: Eukaryota; Fungi. The record is from RNAcentral.
GUAAUUUAAUUACGUUGUUACUGACGCGGAUUGCUAUUACAAAAAGGUUUGUGGUUGGUCCUGGUGGCGGGCGAGCCCGCCCAGGAAACAAGAGGUACGCAAAAGACACGGGUGAAUAGUUCAGCAGGGCCGGGCCCCCGUUGCGCACGCCGUGAAGCAGUGCCCAUCGGGGGGGGAUCCAGCCCGCCUUCGUAUUGUGUAAUGAUCCCUCCGCAGGUUCACCUACGGAGA